GAGAUAUAUACUGUCUCAUAUAUAUUUGAUGAAUUUAAAUUUUUAGUAAAAAUGCUUAAAUAAUUUUAUGGGACGAUAAGACCCUAUAGAAUUUUAUAUUAAUAUUUUAUUAAUUAUUUAAUUAAAAUAUUAAUAUUUAAUUGGGAGGAUUAAUAAAUUUAAAAAACUUUAUUUUAAAAAUAAACUUUGAUUUUAGAAUUAAUUUUUGAUCUUUUAUUACAAAUCAAAAGAAUAAAUUACCUUAGGGAUAACAGCGUAAUAUCUUUUUAAAGAUCAUAUUUAAAAAGAUGUUUGCGACCUCGAUGUUGAAUUAAGAUAAAUUUUAAACGGAGAAGUUUAAUAAUUAAGUCUGUUCGACUUUUAAAAUCUUACAUGA
RNAcentral lists this ribosomal RNA (376 nucleotides) under Bombus pauloensis. RNAcentral describes it as "partial 16S ribosomal RNA". The stretch from base 247 to 376 matches the Rfam family "Archaeal large subunit ribosomal RNA", at positions 2544 to 2674 of the family's 2987-position model. The record is from RNAcentral. Lineage: Eukaryota; Metazoa; Arthropoda; Insecta; Hymenoptera; Apidae.